GCUACACAUGCAAGUCGAACGGUAACAGCAGAGCUUGCUCUGGCUGACGAGUGGCGCACGGGUGCGUAACGCGUAUGCAACUUACCCCAAACUGGAGAAUAGCCUUUCGAAAGGAAGAAUAAUACUCCAUAGUAUUUCAAAGAGGCAUCUCUUUGUUCUUAAAGCUUCGGCGGUUUGGGAUGGGCAUGCGUUCUAUUAGUUAGUUGGUGAGGUAACGGCUCACCAAGACCACGAUAGAUAGGGGGCCUGAGAGGGUUAUCCCCCACACUGGUGCUGAGACACGGACCAGACUCCUACGGGAGGCAGCAGUGAGGAAUAUUGCACAAUGGACGAAAGUCUGAUGCAGCCAUGCCGCGUGCAGGAUGAAUGCCCUACGGGUUGUAAACUGCUUUUAUAUAGGAAGAAACCCGAGAACGUGUUCUCGGCUGACGGUACUAUAAGAAUAAGGACCGGCUAACUCCGUGCCAGCAGCCGCGGUAAUACGGAGGGUCCAAGCGUUAUCCGGAUUUAUUGGGUUUAAAGGGUCCGUAGGCGGGAAAAUAAGUCAGUGGUGAAAGCCUGCAGCUCAACUGCAGAACUGCCAUUGAAACUGUUUUUCUUGAAUAUAGAUGAAGUGGGCGGAAUAUAUCAUGUAGCGGUGAAAUGCAUAGAUAUGAUAUAGAACACCAAUUGCGAAGGCAGCUCACUAAACUAUUAUUGACGCUGAGGGACGAAAGUGUGGGGAGCGAACAGGAUUAGAUACCCUGGUAGUCCACACCGUAAACGAUGAUUACUCGGUGCUAGCGAUAUACUGUUAGUGCCUAAGCGAAAGCGAUAAGUAAUCCACCUGGGGAGUACGGUCGCAAGAUUGAAACUCAAAGGAAUUGACGGGGGCCCGC
This 878-nucleotide ribosomal RNA is filed under the name uncultured bacterium. RNAcentral describes it as "bacterial SSU rRNA". It matches the Rfam family "Bacterial small subunit ribosomal RNA", at positions 48 to 924 of the family's 1533-position model. The record is from RNAcentral.